RNAcentral lists this ribosomal RNA (253 nucleotides) under uncultured bacterium. RNAcentral describes it as "partial 16S ribosomal RNA". It matches the Rfam family "Bacterial small subunit ribosomal RNA", at positions 524 to 776 of the family's 1533-position model. The record is from RNAcentral.
UACAGAGGGGGCAAGCGUUAUUCGGAAUUAUUGGGCGUAAAGGGCGCGUAGGCGGCUUUUCAAGUGACGGGUGAAAUCCCUCGGCUUAACCGGGGAACUGCGUCUGAUACUGGAUGGCUUGAGAUUGGGAGAGGGAUGCGGAAUUCCAGGUGUAGCGGUGAAAUGCGUAGAUAUCUGGAGGAACACCGGUGGCGAAGGCGGCAUCCUGGACCAACACUGACACUGAGGAGCGAAAGCCAGGGGAGCAAACGGG